AAGAUUGUUGAUUUCUGUGAAAAUCCUGCAAAUGUGGUGUCCCAUGAUAAGACAUCUAAAAAUAUUGGAAUUGGAUUGGUGUGGGCUUCAGCAUGAGGUGAUAAAAUACAGAUUCAAGUGGACAAAAAGGGGAAGAUUGUGGACAUGAGGUUUAAAACAUCUGGCUGCAGUUCUGCAGUUGCCUCCAGCCCGUUAGCCACUGACCGGGUGAAAAAGAAUAUGAUAGAGGAAGCCUAUACCCUCAAAAACACAGACAUCACCAAGGAGCCCUGCCUUCCUCCUGUGAAACUGCCUGCUCCAUGCUGGCUGAGGAUGCAACUAAGGCCACUUGGCUGGUUACAAACUAAAAUAAGGACCCGAGAAAGGAGAGGUGGAGAAGA
This 380-nucleotide long non-coding RNA is filed under the name Homo sapiens (human). Its description in RNAcentral is "non-protein coding lnc-BMP5-1:1". The record is from RNAcentral. Lineage: Eukaryota; Metazoa; Chordata; Mammalia; Primates; Hominidae.